AGAGUUUGAUCAUGGCUCAGGACGAACGCUGGCGGCGUGCCUAACACAUGCAAGUCGAGCGGGGAUGAGCUGGUCAGCUUGCUGAUUGGCUUAUCCUAGCGGCGGACGGGUGAGUAACGCGUGAGCAACCAACCUUGUACUGGGGGAUAACAGCUGGAAACAGCUGCUAAUACCGCAUAAGACUACGGCACCGCACGGUGCUGUAGUAAAAGGUGCCGGAAGGCGCCGGUACAAGACGGGCUCGCGUCCCAUUAGCUAGUUGGUGGGGUAACGGCCUACCAAGGCGACGAUGGGUAGCCGGCCUGAGAGGGUGUACGGCCACACUGGGACUGAGACACGGCCCAGACUCCUACGGGAGGCAGCAGUGGGGGAUAUUGCGCAAUGGGGGAAACCCUGACGCAGCGACGCCGCGUGAGCGAGGAAGGCCUUCGGGUCGUAAAGCUCUGUCCCUGGGGACGAAUUAAGUGACGGUACCUGGGGAGGAAGCCCCGGCUAACUACGUGCCAGCAGCCGCGGUAAUACGUAGGGGGCGAGCGUUGUCCGGAGUUACUGGGCGUAAAGGGUGCGUAGGCGGCCUAUUAAGUCAGGUGUGAAAAACCCUGGCUCAACCGGGGUAUUGCACUUGAAACUGGUGGGCUUGAGUGCAGGAGAGGGAAGCGGAAUUCCUGGUGUAGCGGUGAAAUGCGUAGAUAUCAGGAGGAACACCAGUGGCGAAGGCGGCUUCCUGGCCUGUAACUGACGCUGAGGCACGAGAGCGUGGGGAGCAAACAGGAUUAGAUACUCUGGUAGUCCACGCUGUAAACGAUGGAUACUACGUGUAGGGGGCGAUUUAGCCUUCUGUGCCGAAGUUAACGCAAUAAGUAUCCCGCCUGGGGAGUACGGCCGCAAGGUUGAAACUCAAUGAAUUGACGG
Molecule: ribosomal RNA, 912 nt
Filed under: uncultured bacterium
Lineage: Bacteria
Description: bacterial SSU rRNA
Rfam family: Bacterial small subunit ribosomal RNA
Source: RNAcentral